GGAUUAGAUACCCUGGUAGUCCACGCCGUAAACGAUGUCAACUAGGUGUUGGGAUGGUUAAUCAUCUCAUUGCCGCAGCUAACGCAUUAAGUUGACCGCCUGGGGAGUACGGUCGCAAGAUUAAAACUCAAAGAAAUUGACGGGGGCCCGCACAAGCGGUGGAGUAUGUGGUUUAAUUCGACGCAACGCGCAGAACCUUACCUGGUCUUGACAUCCCGAGAAUCUUUUGGAAACAAGAGAGUGCUCUUCGGAGAAUUCGGUGACAGGUGCUGCAUGGCUGUCGUCAGCUCGUGCCG
RNAcentral lists this ribosomal RNA (296 nucleotides) under uncultured bacterium. RNAcentral's name for it is "partial 16S ribosomal RNA". It matches the Rfam family "Bacterial small subunit ribosomal RNA", at positions 775 to 1067 of the family's 1533-position model. The record is from RNAcentral.